GCGGGCGUGGCGGAAUUGGUAGACGCGCUGGAUUUAGGUUCCAGUGACUUCGGUCGUAUGGGUUCAAGUCCCUUCGCCCGCACCA
RNAcentral lists this transfer RNA (85 nucleotides) under Azospirillum lipoferum. RNAcentral describes it as "tRNA_Leu_TAG". It matches the Rfam family "tRNA". From Rfam's summary of the family: Transfer RNA (tRNA) molecules are approximately 80 nucleotides in length. RNAcentral also lists the same sequence under 47 other names. The record is from RNAcentral. Lineage: Bacteria; Pseudomonadati; Pseudomonadota; Alphaproteobacteria; Rhodospirillales; Azospirillaceae.